Molecule: ribosomal RNA, 1399 nt
Filed under: uncultured bacterium
Lineage: Bacteria
Description: partial 16S ribosomal RNA
Rfam family: Bacterial small subunit ribosomal RNA
Source: RNAcentral
GAGUUUGAUCAUGGCUCAGAUUGAACGCUGGCGGCAUGCUUUACACAUGCAAGUCGGACGGCAGCGGGGUAGUGCUUGCACUACUGCCGGCGAGUGGCGAACGGGUGAGUAAUAUAUUGGAACGUACCGAGUAAUGGGGGAUAACCAAUCGAAAGAUUGGCUAAUACCGCAUACGCUCUGAGGAGGAAAGCAGGGGAUCUUCGGGCCUUGCGUUAUUCGAGCGGCCAAUAUCUGAUUAGCUAGUUGGUGGGGUAAAGGCCUACCAAGGCGACGAUCAGUAGCGGGUCUGAGAGGAUGAUCCGCCACACUGGGACUGAGACACGGCCCAGACUCCUACGGGAGGCAGCAGUGGGGAAUUUUGGACAAUGGGCGCAAGCCUGAUCCAGCCAUGCCGCGUGUCUGAAGAAGGCCUUCGGGUUGUAAAGGACUUUUGUUAGGGAAGAAAAAGGAGCGGUUAAUACCCGUUUCUGCUGACGGUACCUAAAGAAUAAGCACCGGCUAACUACGUGCCAGCAGCCGCGGUAAUACGUAGGGUGCGAGCGUUAAUCGGAAUUACUGGGCGUAAAGCGAGCGCAGACGGUUACUUAAGCAGGAUGUGAAAUCCCCGGGCUCAACCUGGGAACUGCGUUCUGAACUGGGUAGCUAGAGUAUGUCAGAGGGGGGUAGAAUUCCACGUGUAGCAGUGAAAUGCGUAGAGAUGUGGAGGAAUACCGAUGGCGAAGGCAGCCCCCUGGGAUAAUACUGACGUUCAUGCUCGAAAGCGUGGGUAGCAAACAGGAUUAGAUNACCUGGUAGUCCACGCCCUAAACGAUGUCGAUUAGCUGUUGGGCAGCUUGACUGCUUAGUAGCGUAGCUCCGGCGAGAAAUCGACCGCCAUGGGCGAGUAGUGCCCAACGAUUAAAAUUCAAAGGAAUUGUGGGGACCCCCCCAAGCCCCCCACCCCCCCCAUAAAUUCGUGGCACGCCACCCCCCCCCCCCCCCCCUGGGCGUGUUCCCCCCCCCCCCCCCCCCGAGGGGUGCAUUAGGGCGCCAAAAAACAAAUGGUGCAGGGCGGUCGUCAGCUAGUGUCGGGAGACGUGGGGUUAAGUCCCGCAACGAGCGCAACCCUUGUCAUUAGUUGCCAUCAUUCAGUGGGGCACUCUAAUGAGACUGCCGGUGACAAACCGGAGGAAGGUGGGGAUGACCCCCCCCCCUCAUGGCCCUUAUGACCAGGGCCCCCCCCCCCCCACAAUGGUCGGUACAAAGGGUAGCCAAGCCGCGAGGCGGAGCCAAUCUCAUAAAACCGAUCGUAGUCCGGAUUGCACUCUGCAACUCGAGUGCAUGAAGUCGGAAUAGGUAGUAAUCGCAGGUCAGCAUACUGCGGUGAAUACGUUCCCGGGUCUUGCACACACCGCCCGUC